This is a small nuclear RNA of Vulpes vulpes (red fox), 108 nucleotides long. NCBI's taxonomy places the organism in Eukaryota, Metazoa, Chordata, Mammalia, Carnivora, Canidae. The record is from Ensembl.
GUUCUCUGCAGACUUUGGCAGCACAUAUACUAAAAUUGUAACAAUGUGAAGAUUAGCAUGGUCCCUGAAUAAGAAUAAAUGCAAAUUUGUGAAGCAUUCCACAUUUUU